GGGCCGGUAGCUCAGCGGUAGAGCAGUUGACUCUUAAUCAAUUGGUCGUGGGUUCGAUUCCCACCCGGCCCACCA
This 75-nucleotide transfer RNA is filed under the name Paracoccaceae bacterium. RNAcentral's name for it is "tRNA-Lys". It matches the Rfam family "tRNA". From Rfam's summary of the family: Transfer RNA (tRNA) molecules are approximately 80 nucleotides in length. Their secondary structure includes four short double-helical elements and three loops (D, anti-codon, and T loops). RNAcentral also lists the same sequence under 1 other name. The record is from RNAcentral. Lineage: Bacteria; Pseudomonadati; Pseudomonadota; Alphaproteobacteria; Rhodobacterales; Paracoccaceae.